Dendronephthya gigantea is the source of this 188-nucleotide long non-coding RNA. RefSeq lists it as uncharacterized. The record is from RefSeq and is a predicted model, not a curated record. The transcript has 3 exons. Lineage: Eukaryota; Metazoa; Cnidaria; Anthozoa; Malacalcyonacea; Nephtheidae.
GUUAUUUUGGAUGGAAUUAACAGUCACGGUGUAGAAGGAAUAAAGGAGAAAUAAAUAGAAUUUCUUCAGAGAUAAACAUGGCUGCAUUUUCGCCAUUGCGAAGGUUUGUUUUGGUUGCUUUUCUCGUUUGUAUUCAUCGAAAUUACGCCAAGAGAACCGAAAUCAAGGGGGACCUUGGUAAUCUCGAU